Ochotona princeps (American pika) is the source of this 107-nucleotide small nuclear RNA. NCBI's taxonomy places the organism in Eukaryota, Metazoa, Chordata, Mammalia, Lagomorpha, Ochotonidae. The record is from Ensembl.
GUGCUCACUUUGGCAGCACGUAUACUAAAAUUGGAACGAUACAGAGAAGAUUAGCAUGGCAGCUGUGCAAGGAUGAGAUCGGGUUGAGAGGUGAAUGGUCAGCUGGU